This 412-nucleotide ribosomal RNA is filed under the name uncultured bacterium. RNAcentral's name for it is "bacterial SSU rRNA". It matches the Rfam family "Bacterial small subunit ribosomal RNA", at positions 335 to 762 of the family's 1533-position model. The record is from RNAcentral.
ACUCCUACGGGAGGCAGCAGUGGGGAAUAUUGCACAAUGGGCGCAAGCCUGAUGCAGCAACGCCGCGUGAGUGAUGAAGGCCUUCGGUCGUAAAGCUCUGUCCUCAAGGAAGAAUAAAUGACGGUACUUGAGGAGGAAGCCCCGGCUAACUACGUGCCAGCAGCCGCGGUAAUACGUAGGGGGCAAGCGUUAUCCGGAAUCACUGGGGCGUAAAGGGGUGCGUAGGCGGUUUUUCAAGUCAGAAGUGAAAGGCUAUGGCUCAACCAUAGUAAGCUUUUGAAACUGUUAAACUUGAGUGCAGGAGAGGAAAGUGGAAUUCCUAGUGUAGAGGUGAAAUUCGUAGAUAUUAGGAGGAACACCAGUGGCGAAGGCGACUUUCUGGACUGUAACUGACGCUGAGGCACGAAAGCGU